UGCAGUCGGACGGGAUUGAGGAGCUUGCUUCUCAUGAGAGUGGCGCACGGGUGCGUAACACGUAUGUAACCUACCUUGUUCAGGGGGAUAGCCUCUCGAAAGAGAGAUUAACACCGCAUAAAAUCAAUUUAUGGCAUCAUAGAAUGAUCAAAUAUUUAUAGGAACAAGAUGGGCAUGCGGAACAUUAGCUAGUUGGUAAGGUAACGGCUUACCAAGGCUACGAUGUUUAGGGGAUCUGAGAGGAUGACCCCCCACACUGGUACUGAGACACGGACCAGACUCCUACGGGAGGCAGCAGUAAGGAACAUUGGUCAAUGGACGCAAGUCUGAACCAGCCAUGCCGCGUGCAGGAAGACGGCCCUACGGGUUGUAAACUGCUUUUGUACCGGAAUAAACCUUUUCACGUGUGAGAAGCUGAAUGUACGGUAAGAAUAAGGAUCGGCUAACUCCGUGCCAGCAGCCGCGGUAAUACGGAGGAUCCAAGCGUUAUCCGGAUUUAUUGGGUUUAAAGGGUGCGUAGGUGGCCUAUUAAGUCAGGGGUGAAAGACGGUAGCUUAACUAUCGCAGUGCCUUUGAUACUGAUGGGCUUGAAUACACUUGAGGUAGGCGGAAUGUGACAAGUAGCGGUGAAAUGCAUAGAUAUGUCACAGAACACCAAUUGCGAAGGCAGCUUACUAAAGUGUUAUUGACACUGAGGCACGAAAGCGUGGGGAUCAAACAGGAUUAGAUACCCUGGUAGUCCACGCCCUAAACGAUGAAUACUCGAUGUUGGCGAUAUACGGUCAGCGUCUAAGCGAAAGCGUUAAGUAUUCCACCUGGGGAGUACGCCCGCAAGGGUGAAACUCAAAGGAAUUGACGGGGGCCCGCACAAGCGGAGGAGCAUG
RNAcentral lists this ribosomal RNA (884 nucleotides) under uncultured bacterium. RNAcentral's name for it is "bacterial SSU rRNA". It matches the Rfam family "Bacterial small subunit ribosomal RNA", at positions 56 to 941 of the family's 1533-position model. The record is from RNAcentral.